CCACGCGCGCCGGCCGGUGCUGCUGGUGGAGGGAACUGACAUCUAACGCAUGUGGCCCAGGAGAACAAAACCUUCCAUUGCACCCCACGCCGCGACGCUCCCCAGCGAAAGGUGCUUCUGUUGGAAGACCGCACGAAGUAAGGAAGAGCCUCUUUUCCUCUUCCUGGAUAUCCCUCCAGGAAUAUUAGAAGCUCCAGGACUCCUUGAUACGACCAGGAAAAGAUCGCAACCGGGUCUUUAAAAUAUCGAUUCCAGCCAGCUUCUGCGUGCUUGACACAUCUUGGCAGAUGGAGAAGUCAAGGCAAUAGUUCUGACAAGUUUGGAAGUUACACAAAUCGCGUUUGCAAUUGAGGCCGCGGGAAUCCAAAAGGGAAACAAACGAAACCAGAUGAAAAAAAGUGAUUCCAAGUCAAGAUUUCAAAUAGGAAUCUAAGAGACUGGGUCUCGCCAUGUUG
RNAcentral lists this long non-coding RNA (455 nucleotides) under Pan troglodytes (chimpanzee). RNAcentral describes it as "long non-coding RNA NONPTRT014107". The record is from RNAcentral. Lineage: Eukaryota; Metazoa; Chordata; Mammalia; Primates; Hominidae.